CCCUUAGAUGUUCUGGGCGGCCCGCGCACUACAAUGGCGCUUUCAGCGAGUUCCUAUGUUGAAUUUUCCUUGGUAUUCUUGGAAGCGGCGUCUUGACUUGGGAUAGAUCCUUGUAAUUGUUGGUUUUGAACGAGGAAUUCCUUGUAAUCGCGGUUGAUCAGCUCGCGUUGAAUACGUCCCUGCCCUUUGUACACACCGCCCGUCGCUCCUACCGAUGAAUCGUCCGGCGAAGUUCACAGAGUGGCGGUUCGUGGAGUUGCUCGCGAAGUGAAAUGGACCUCACGAUUUAGAGGAAGGAGAAGUCGUAACA
RNAcentral lists this ribosomal RNA (310 nucleotides) under uncultured eukaryote. Its description in RNAcentral is "partial 18S ribosomal RNA". It matches the Rfam family "Eukaryotic small subunit ribosomal RNA", at positions 1470 to 1796 of the family's 1831-position model. The record is from RNAcentral.